RNAcentral lists this ribosomal RNA (464 nucleotides) under uncultured bacterium. RNAcentral describes it as "partial 16S ribosomal RNA". It matches the Rfam family "Bacterial small subunit ribosomal RNA", at positions 28 to 507 of the family's 1533-position model. The record is from RNAcentral.
GACGAACGCUGGCGGCGUGCUUAACACAUGCAUGUCGAACGGAAAGGCCCAGCUUGCUGGGUGCUCGAGUGGCGAACGGGUGAGUAACACGUGGGUGAUCUGCCCCUAACUUCGGGAUAAGCUUGGGAAACUGGGUCUAAUACCGGAUAGGACAAUCGUUUAGUGUCGGUUGUGGAAAGUUUUUUCGGUUAGGGAUGAGCCCGCGGCCUAUCAGCUUGUUGGUGGGGUAAUGGCCUACCAAGGCGUCGACGGGUAGCCGGCCUGAGAGGGUGGGCGGCCACAUUGGGACUGAGAUACGGCCCAGACUCCUACGGGAGGCAGCAGUGGGGAAUAUUGCACAAUGGGCGCAAGCCUGAUGCAGCGACGCCGCGUGGGGGAUGACGGCCUUCGGGUUGUAAACCUCUUUCGACAGGGACGAAGCUUUGGUGACGGUACCUGUAUAAGAAGCACCGGCUAACUACGUG